GGGGAUGUAGCUCAGUGGUAGAGCGCACGCUUCGCAUGUGUGACGCCCCGGGUUCAAUCCCCGGAACCUCCA
Molecule: non-coding RNA, 72 nt
Organism: Ciona savignyi (Pacific transparent sea squirt)
Lineage: Eukaryota; Metazoa; Chordata; Ascidiacea; Phlebobranchia; Cionidae
Source: Rfam